Plutella xylostella (diamondback moth) is the source of this 928-nucleotide RNA transcript. RefSeq lists it as uncharacterized. Lineage: Eukaryota; Metazoa; Arthropoda; Insecta; Lepidoptera; Plutellidae. The record is from RefSeq and is a predicted model, not a curated record.
UAGUAGGUACAAAGGAGGACGCAGCCCCGCGCACCUGUCAUGGCCGUCAACAUCAACAAAACAACAUAGACUGUUGUUUUCCCGGAAUUGGCAUUCGCAUUAUUGAUUUUUCGGUCCGGUAUUGUGGUAUCCAUUAUACUCCCAGUGCGUAUCGUGUAACACCCAGACCGAAUCGGUCGCAGCUUGCUGUGCUCUCGGUCUUUGUGAAAUCCAAGAUGCCGGUGAAUACAUCGCAAACUCAUCUUCUGGUGGCGGUGACGACGCAGCCGAUGCGCGGCUUCAACACCGAGCAGGCGGAGCAGCUGAAGAAGGAGAUGCAGAACCGCGUGUUCGAGCAGAUCCUGGCGCCCGCCGUGAGCCCGGAGCCCGCGUUCGCGCCCAUGUUCCGCGGCACCACCCACCUGAGCGAGGGCUUCAUCAAGAUGUGGUGCGAGGACGAGGCCACGCUGGGCUGGCUGAAGCAGACCGUGGCCACGCUGUCCUCGCCCAUCCCGGACACCAAGCUCGUGGUGGUGCGCCAGCUCGAGAUCUCCAACAAGGCCCGCAUCGGCCUCCUGAUCGAGGCCGCUGACGGUGAGUCAGCUGAGUAGCAAUAUGAGUUUCCUUUUCACCACUGCGAGAGCUUGCCAUUGGAUUAAAAGGAAACAAACAAGACCCCGCAAGCCCCCACGUCUCGGCCUCCUGCUCGAUGUCUAUGAUCUAUCCACAUUAUAAAUGUCAACUUUAAUUUAGUCUGUAACAUUAAGUUUAGUUAGGGUACAUAUUUAUUAUUUUCUAUUUAACCAUUAAGAUUGAGUUACUCUAUCAAAAUUUGUGAUGUGUAAACCUUUAAGUUAUUGUUGGAAUUUUUAUCUAAUCUAUAUUAUUACUUACCUAAAAGGUACAUGAAUGUCAUGAUUAACUAAGUGUAGUAAAAAAUCAAUCCUUA